CAGUCGCCGCGGGAAUACGAAGGGGGCUAGCGUUGCUCGGAAUGACUGGGCGUAAAGGGCGCGUAGGCGGAUGGCACAGUCAGAUGUGAAAUUCCCGGGCUUAACCUGGGGGCUGCAUUUGAUACGUGUUGUCUAGAGUGAGGAAGAGGGUCGUGGAAUUCCCAGUGUAGAGGUGAAAUUCGUAGAUAUUGGGAAGAACACCGGUGGCGAAGGCGGCGACCUGGUCCUUUACUGACGCUGAGGCGCGAAAGCGUGAGGAGCAAACAGGAUUAGAUACCCGCGUAGUCCCUGUCUCUUAUAC
RNAcentral lists this ribosomal RNA (301 nucleotides) under uncultured bacterium. RNAcentral's name for it is "partial 16S ribosomal RNA". It matches the Rfam family "Bacterial small subunit ribosomal RNA", at positions 509 to 807 of the family's 1533-position model. The record is from RNAcentral.